GCAUUUAGUCCGAGUUAUUUCUUGUUUCUUAUGUGACCUUUUCUCUGAAGCAUAGACGGACGUUCUAUAUUGUUACUGCUGGAGACUGUUUUUAUUAAGGCUAGAACAGACAAGUUACGAUUAAAUCAUAUCUGUAAAUCGAUAUUAUCUACCGGUUACAACUGAUUUAAAUAAUAACUAAUAAUUAUAAUUGUCAACGUUGCAGUCUACUUUUUUCUAUUUUGCAAUAAUAUCAAAAUGAACUUCAUAUUUUAGAACUUUAUUAAAACAUGCAGCUAUCACUGUGAUUGCUAUGUCAAAUUUUAAAAUACACCUAGGACAUAUCAAACGAUAUCUAAGAACAACUGUGUUGGAUGAAUGAAAAAACCCGUACGUAUGCAACUGUCUUCCUAUUUCACAUAUUUCUGUUUAAUUCAUUUACUGCUCAAGUACAAGUUUAGGGAAUGCUAUUGACAAUUGUGUCCGACAUUAUUAAACAUGUUUUUUCGUACAUGUAUAAACAUUUAUUAAAUUAAUAAUAGAGAUUGUAUAAUAACUGCUAUGUUUCACGUAUCCAUCAUGUUCUGGCUUAUUGAGAUAGAGAUAUAUGUUUAUAACAAAUUAGUCAUAUCAUCAGACUUUAAGCGUGUUUGAACUUCGAUUCUCUGUGCAAAGUCCGAUACUUGGUGUUACUUGCUGAUCGAGCGCGGCUUCCAUCUGUGGAAUUCUUCUUUUCAAAUUGAACAGCACGUUUGAAAACACGAUUAACGGAAAAACCACAGACAUGCAUUCAUCUGACCGAUAAAUUGCUAUGACACCCAAGGGAUCUCUGAACAUAGCGGUCAGUGCCAGCACCGACAUUGCUGGCCAUAAAUUGUGUUUAAUUCCUACACGUCACUUUGAAAUCCCCGACUAUGAGACAAGGAGAUAAAACGCGACGGCAAAUUUAUGAAGACUCCUUUUGCAUUGUUUUGUCAGCUUUAUUUUUGGCGGAAUUGAUAUCGGUCCCCCAUGAUCAAGAGCAUCAACUGUAAUGUCGAUUCAUCUUUUUAUCGGUAUACAAUUGCGCCAUAUCCAGAAUAAAACAAAAUGACGAACUUUGCUGGAAUAUUCGGGGUAUACGCUCGGACUUUCUUUGGUUCAACUUUAGGAAACCCUAGCUGCACAAAUGUGGUAUAUGUUAAUGCCUCAAAAUGCGGUCAGCCGAUUCGCAUGGAAUAAUCUUUAUAACAAGAUCAUGGCAUGUUUGUACACAUAAAUGAAACUGAAGACUAAAGUCCAAAACCUAAUACACUGAGAAAGCGAAC
Long non-coding RNA from Magallana angulata, 1286 nucleotides. RefSeq lists it as uncharacterized. Lineage: Eukaryota; Metazoa; Mollusca; Bivalvia; Ostreida; Ostreidae. The transcript is spliced from 3 exons. The record is from RefSeq and is a predicted model, not a curated record.